RNAcentral lists this ribosomal RNA (492 nucleotides) under uncultured bacterium. RNAcentral describes it as "partial 16S ribosomal RNA". It matches the Rfam family "Bacterial small subunit ribosomal RNA", at positions 29 to 507 of the family's 1533-position model. The record is from RNAcentral.
AGUGAACGCUGGCGGUAGGCCUAACACAUGCAAGUCGAACGGCAGCACAGUAAGAGCUUGCUCUUACGGGUGGCGAGUGGCGGACGGGUGAGGAAUACAUCGGAAUCUACUUUUUCGUGGGGGAUAACGUAGGGAAACUUACGCUAAUACCGCAUACGACCUACGGGUGAAAGCAGGGGAUCUUCGGACCUUGCGCGAUUGAAUGAGCCGAUGUCGGAUUAGCUAGUUGGCGGGGUAAAGGCCCACCAAGGCGACGAUCCGUAGCUGGUCUGAGAGGAUGGUCCGCCCCACUUGCACCGAGACACGGUCCAGGCCUCUUCGGGAGGCCACAGGUGGGAAUUAUUGACCAAUGGCGCAAGCCCGAUCCCGGCAUUCCGCCUUGGUUAAGGAGGCCUUCCGGGUUGUAAGCCCCUUUGUUGGGAAAGAAAAGCAGCAGGUUAAUACCCCGCUGUUCUGACGGUACCCAAAGAAUAAGCACCGGCUAACUUCGUG